ACAAAAACCUUUCAACUCCUGUUUGUUACUUUGAAUUAUUUAUUCAUUUGCUUUGAGACAAUGUCACUCAUGGGAAAUGGGGAACUAAAAUGGACUAGUUCGGUGGAGUGUCUUGAUCUGGUAGUUUUAAGUGUGACCAAGUUGUCACGGUUAUAUGUUCUGACCACAACUAAAUCUUGUGUCUUCCAUACUGUAUACUUCCUUUCAGUUA
Molecule: unclassified non-coding RNA, 211 nt
Filed under: Hevea brasiliensis (rubber tree)
Lineage: Eukaryota; Viridiplantae; Streptophyta; Magnoliopsida; Malpighiales; Euphorbiaceae
Source: RNAcentral